RNAcentral lists this ribosomal RNA (120 nucleotides) under Helianthus annuus (common sunflower). Lineage: Eukaryota; Viridiplantae; Streptophyta; Magnoliopsida; Asterales; Asteraceae. The record is from RNAcentral.
GGUUGCGAUCAUACCAGCCAGUAAUGCACCGGAUCCCAUCAGAACUCCGCAGUUAAGCGUGCUUGGGCGAGAGUAGUACUAGGAUGGGUGACCCCUUGGGAAGUCCUCGUGUUGCAACCC